CACUAUGCCUGCCCCUAAACCUAGAUAGACUACCUACAUUACUAUCCGCCUGAGAACUACGAGCGGUAGCUUAAAACUCAAAGGACUUGGCGGCACUUCACACCCCCCUAGAGGAGCCUGUUCUAGAACCGAUGCUCCCCGUUCAACCUCACCUUCUCUUGUUCUCUUUUUCCCAGCCUAUAUACCGCCGUCGCCAGUUCACCCUGUAAAGGCCCAAGCAGUGAACAUAACCGGCACAGCCAAAUAUGACAGGUCGAGGUGUAGCUUAUGAGAAGGGAAGAAAUGGGCUACAAUUACUUAUAAAGCUAAUACGAAAUGUAAAAGCUGAAACGCAUACACGAAGGAGGAUUUAGAAGUAAGGGGGAAAUAGAGUGUCCCCCUGAAGCGGGUAUCUGAAGCGUGCACACACCGCCCGUCACUCUCCCCACACAUUGGCCUUUUUAGAUUACUUAAAAAAUUUUACAAGAGAAGGGGAGAAAAGUCGUAA
RNAcentral lists this ribosomal RNA (487 nucleotides) under Ostorhinchus multilineatus. RNAcentral's name for it is "partial small subunit ribosomal RNA". It matches the Rfam family "Bacterial small subunit ribosomal RNA", at positions 788 to 1491 of the family's 1533-position model. Lineage: Eukaryota; Metazoa; Chordata; Actinopteri; Kurtiformes; Apogonidae. The record is from RNAcentral.